GGGUGUUCGCCAUGAUGCAGGCGGGCAGGUUUGUGUCGUUGGUCGGGCCGCCAGCG
Molecule: non-coding RNA, 56 nt
Filed under: Sphingobium cupriresistens
Lineage: Bacteria; Pseudomonadati; Pseudomonadota; Alphaproteobacteria; Sphingomonadales; Sphingobiaceae
Also listed under: 1 other name
Description: Sphingobium czechense Li+-I sequence
Rfam family: nhaA-I RNA
About the family: Acidobacteria, Alphaproteobacteria, Betaproteobacteria and Gammaproteobacteria, Verrucomicrobia, cand. division NC10.
Source: RNAcentral